Molecule: ribosomal RNA, 505 nt
Filed under: uncultured bacterium
Lineage: Bacteria
Description: partial 16S ribosomal RNA
Rfam family: Bacterial small subunit ribosomal RNA
Source: RNAcentral
GACGAACGCUGGCGGCGUGCCUAAUACAUGCAAGUAGAACGCACAGUUUAUACCGUAGCUUGCUACACCAUAGACUGUGAGUUGCGAACGGGUGAGUAACGCGUAGGUAACCUGCCUGGUAGCGGGGGAUAACUAUUGGAAACGAUAGCUAAUACCGCAUAAUAUUGAUUAUUGCAUGAUAAUUGAUUGAAAGAUGCUAUUGCAUCACUACCAGAUGGACCUGCGUUGUAUUAGCUAGUAGGUGAGGUAACGGCUCACCUAGGCGACGAUACAUAGCCGACCUGAGAGAGUGAUCGGCCACACUGGGACUGAGACACGACCCAGACUCCUACGGGAGGCAGCAGUAGGGAAUCUUCGGCAAUGGACGAAAGUCUGACCGAGCAACGCCGCGUGAGUGAAGAAGGUUUUCGGAUCGUAAAGCUCUGUUGUAAGAGAAGAACGGGUGUGAGAGUGGAAAGUUCACACUGUGACGGUAUCUUACCAGAAAGGGACGGCUAACUACGUG